AUUGAACGCUGGCGGCAGGCUUAACACAUGCAAGUCGAGCGGGGUGAUGGUGCUUGCACUAUCACUUAGCGGCGGACGGGUGAGUAAUGCAUAGGAAUCUGCCUAUUAGUGGGGGACAACAUCUCGAAAGGGAUGCUAAUACCGCAUACGUCCUACGGGAGAAAGCAGGGGAUCACUUGUGACCUUGCGCUAAUAGGUGAGCCUAAGUCGGAUUAGCUAGUUGGUGGGGUAAAGGCCUACCAAGGCGACGAUCUGUAGCGGGUCUGAGAGGAUGAUCCGCCACACUGGGACUGAGACACGGCCCAGACUCCUACGGGAGGCAGCAGUGGGGAAUAUUGGACAAUGGGGGGAACCCUGAUCCAGCCAUGCCGCGUGUGUGAAGAAGGCCUUAUGGUUGUAAAGCACUUUAAGCGAGGAGAAGGCUCUUUUGGUUAAUACCCAAGAUGAGUGGACGUUACUCGCAGAAUAAGCACCGGCUAACUCUGUGCCAGCCGCCGCCGUAA
RNAcentral lists this ribosomal RNA (503 nucleotides) under uncultured bacterium. RNAcentral describes it as "partial 16S ribosomal RNA". It matches the Rfam family "Bacterial small subunit ribosomal RNA", at positions 30 to 523 of the family's 1533-position model. The record is from RNAcentral.